AGCGGCGGAGGGUGAGUAAUGCAUAGGAAACUGCCCAGUAGUGGGGGAUAGCCCGGGGAAACCCGGAUUAAUACCGCAUACGCCCUUCGGGGGAAAGCAGGGGAUCUUCGGACCUUGCGCUAUUGGAUGUGCCUAUGUCGGAUUAGCUAGUUGGUGGGGUAAGAGCCUACCAAGGCGACGAUCCGUAGCUGGUCUGAGAGGAUGAUCAGCCACAUCGGGACUGAGACACGGCCCGAACUCCUACGGGAGGCAGCAGUGGGGAAUAUUGGACAAUGGGGGUAACCCUGAUCCAGCCAUGCCGCGUGUGAGAAGAAGGCUUUCGGGUUGUAAAGCACUUUCAGUGAGGAGGAAAACCUUAAGUUUAAUACGCUUGAGGCUUGACGUUACUCACAGAAGAAGCACCGGCUAACUCCGUGCCAGCAGCCGCGGUAAUACGGAGGGUGCAAGCGUUAAUCGGAAUUACUGGGCGUAAAGCGCGCGUAGGUGGUUUGAUAAGCGAGAUGUGAAAGCCCCGGGCUCAACCUGGGAACGGCAUUUCGAACUGUCAGGCAGAGUAUGGUAGAGGA
Molecule: ribosomal RNA, 566 nt
Filed under: uncultured bacterium
Lineage: Bacteria
Description: bacterial SSU rRNA
Rfam family: Bacterial small subunit ribosomal RNA
Source: RNAcentral